Molecule: ribosomal RNA, 253 nt
Filed under: uncultured bacterium
Lineage: Bacteria
Description: partial 16S ribosomal RNA
Rfam family: Bacterial small subunit ribosomal RNA
Source: RNAcentral
UACGAAGGGUGCUAGCGUUGUUCGGAAUUACUGGGCGUAAAGCGUGCGCAGGCGGCUAGACAAGUCAGGGGUGAAAUCCUGGGGCUUAACCCCAGAAUUGCCUUUGAAACUGUCUGGCUAGAGACUCGGAGGGGAUAGCGGAAUUCCUAAUGUAGCGGUGAAAUGCGUAGAUAUCAGGAGGAACACCGAUGGCGAAGGCAGGUCUCUGGGCUGACACUGACGCUCAUGCACGAAAGCGUGGGGAGCAAACAGG